AUUGAACGCUGGCGGCAGGCCUAACACAUGCAAGUCGAACGGUAACAGGAAACAGCUUGUUGUUUCGCUGACGAGUGGCGGACGGGUGAGUAAUGUCUGGGAAACUGCCUGAUGGAGGGGGAUAACUACUGGAAACGGUAGCUAAUACCGCAUAACGUCGCAAGACCAAAGAGGGGGACCUUCGGGCCUCUUGCCAUCGGAUGUGCCCAGAUGGGAUUAGCUAGUAGGUGGGGUAACGGCUCACCUAGGCGACGAUCCCUAGCUGGUCUGAGAGGAUGACCAGCCACACUGGAACUGAGACACGGUCCAGACUCCUACGGGAGGCAGCAGUGGGGAAUAUUGCACAAUGGGCGCAAGCCUGAUGCAGCCAUGCCGCGUGUAUGAAGAAGGCCUUCGGGUUGUAAAGUACUUUCAGCGGGGAGGAAGGGAGUAAAGUUAA
Molecule: ribosomal RNA, 439 nt
Filed under: uncultured Escherichia sp.
Lineage: Bacteria; Pseudomonadati; Pseudomonadota; Gammaproteobacteria; Enterobacterales; Enterobacteriaceae
Description: bacterial SSU rRNA
Rfam family: Bacterial small subunit ribosomal RNA
Source: RNAcentral